UCCCUUCACUUGGUUCCUAUGAGAAUACGGAAAACUUCUGUCUCCGAUGCGUUGUGCAACGAAACUCUCUUCUGCUGGAGAUCAAGAAGCGGGAAGAGAGAAGGAAAAAUCAAAACUCCCGACCGUGAGCCAUCACCUCGUGUCGUCGACCACCCCACAUGGUUAGGUAGAGACAGAGAAGGGUGAACCGAGUCGUGCUUGCGGAGGUCCCACUCUAGACGAGCACCGGAUUCCAUCACAGGGGUCGACACGGUGCACAUGGGAGUAACGAGAUCGACCAGUGUGCAAUGUUCCCUCCGAAUGGGCCGAAGUGAGAUAACUAGUUUUUCCUCCGCGCGAUUGAGCACAUUUUGCUCAAUUGCGGGAUCGGUGGGUGAGCUGGUAAGGCUUUUCAUCGCUCACCGGUCUACUGGCGGUAUUCCGCAUUUAUGGUUCGCAGUGUGUGCGAAGAAGAGGUGCAGACACUAUCACGGUCGUAAACGCGCUCGCGAUGUUCAUGGAUUAGGCGAACAAAAUUUCGAAAAUCGUACGUAAAAUUCCACCUGACGCGGUCGGCCAUAAAACUGAUCGAUUGCUAAUUGGAUCGUUUCGAUUGGUUUCUGCGUGAUCGUGAUCGCUGUUAAUUGCGAUAAUUGGUGACAUCGUUGCAAUUGGUUCCAGUUAGAACUGCACAGAUCACCGUUUUCGAAGGUUCAAGUGAAUGCCUGAAAGCCGCACACGCGUUUCGCGUUGAUUUCCUCCAGAGUCGCCGCGGAAGAGAGCGAGAGUUUCGCGUAUGAGUGAGAGGCCAAAGGCCAAGACGCUGGAGCGAAGAGACCAAGAACCAGUAGAGCAGGACGGCGACAGUGGGCAAUACAGAGAGCUUCGGGGCUUUAAUGUAUAUAAAAUAUAAAAUAAACACACAAGGAAUAUCAUUUUUCCUCUUGUAUUGCUUGUUAUAUGCGAAACUUUUGUAUUGUGUCAUAAACGAACUACUUGUCAUAACGUAAACAACUUCGGACUUCUACGAUCGAAUUUUUAUUAUUAUAAUAUUAAUAACAGUAAAAAUAAAACACAACCAAGAGGAGAAAAUUCAAAAUAAUAUCUAUAAAAUAAAGCAGUAAUAAAAAUCAACAUUAGUUCAAAGAUAAAACAUGAAUAAAACAAUUUGAUAGAGAAUCAAAGGAGGCUUUGCGAAAAGCACAACAAACAAUAAAAAAGAAAUCUACGGUUGCUUUGUUUUCGUUUGCUGUGCGACGGAGACACUUUGUACUUUGUGCCACGAGACGAGUAAUGCAGUAGGAAGAAAGAAAAUAGCCGACAGUUUGAACUUUGCCGAGUCCUCGGCAUACGCGUACGUGACAAGUGCUGCUCCCGACGAAGAUAAGUGUUCAUCAAUCUGAUGACCUGUUAUGCCGUGUGCAAGUGAGCUAAGGACGUCGCUGUUUUAAGUGCUACUGGGCAAUUAAAAUCCACCUAAAGUGACGAGUGAGAAUCAACAACUGUGCGGCCAUCGAUGGUUAAACUGAAUACAUAAGUCAACUUGUUUGUGAUUUGAAAUUGUGAUAAGGAAGUCAAGUGAUAAGAAAACGGAAUAAUUGAAAGGCAUCUGCCAUUGGUGAUAAUUGUAUGAAUUGAUCAAAAUGGGUCCUUUAAGGUGGUAAAGUGGCAAUCGUUUAGAGCAGAUUAAUUGCUCAAAGUGUAGAACAGAGUGCAAAAAUCCUCUCGGUGGCAUUAAGCAUUGAAUGUCACAGACCCCAAACUCUGAAGGUAGUCCAUUAACCACAGGUAGUGAAGGUAGUCCGAAUUCUCCACCGACCAGCAAAAUGUAUCCGUUCGUUUCGAAUCACCCGUCGUCGCACGCCAGCUACUCAACGAUGCCAGGUUUUUCGGGCUUGGACGACAAAUCGUGCAGCAGUAGAUACACAGAUAGCGUUAUGAAUAGCUAUCCACCGAUGGGAGUUCCCGGUAGUGCCAGUAUUGCCCAGUUCUACCAGCAAGCAGCUGCCGUAUCGGCAGCUUCCGCCGGCGUCGGUGUAGAUUCCCUCGGGUCCGCAUGUUCACAGCUAUCGUCGUCCGUCGGCGGAGGCCAAUCUGGCCUCCCAGACAUUACCCGCCAUCCCUGGCUCGUGACCGCAUCUCAAUCCGCGCUACAGAAAUUCGCCAGCACAGAUUGGAUGAGUAAUCCCUUCGACCGAGUGGUGUGUGGAGAUUUUGCAGGUCCCAACGGAUGCCCGCGUCGACGAGGCCGGCAAACGUACACCCGCUUCCAGACGCUCGAGCUGGAGAAAGAGUUCCACUUCAACCACUACCUGACCCGGCGACGGAGGAUCGAAAUUGCGCACGCCCUGUGUCUGACCGAGCGGCAGAUCAAAAUCUGGUUCCAAAAUCGCCGGAUGAAGCUGAAGAAGGAACUGCGGGCGGUGAAGGAGAUCAACGAACAGGCGCGGCGCGAACGGGAAGAGCAGGACAAGAUGAAGAACGACUCGUUGAAAUCCGCCCAGCAACAUCACAACAGCCAGAAGCAGCAAGAGCAGACGAUCGUCGGUUCCCAGCAGUCCAGCGGAGGAGGCGGCGGCGGCGGUGGCGGUGGUGGAAGUUCGAGCCUCGGCAGCCACCUGCACCAUCCGUCGAUAGUGGCCCAGAACGAUCUGAAACUCGGCCUCGGCAGUAUGGGCGUCGGCGUCGGCGUCGGAGGGAAUCUCAGCAUGAUGGGAGGUCUGGAUAAUAAAACCAAUCAGGAUAUACUGAAAGCCGUGAUGCAACAUAACAAAAGGUGGGAAUAAGUUGAGAUUAAUUGUAAAACUACGCUUUUAGACUGAACUGGAUUGAGAUAGCAGGUCAAUCUCCCACCACAACUCAAUCUCUCCGCAAACCUGAGUACUAGAGACAUCGUUGGUUCGAUUUAACCAAGAACCUAAAUAAGCCACAAGCAACUCACUCAACACAACAGUACACAAAAAAAAUACAUCCGACAUACGUAAUUUUCACAAACACAAAAGAACGAUUGGGAAGAGUAGACAGCAGCAGAUCGUAGACGAUCACGGCCUCCAGACUUCAGAAUUGGUUCAACUCUGUCGGAAGGCCAACCAGAGCGACAAAAUUGCAAAUUUGCGGAUGAUUGCCGGAAUGGAUGACCUAUGGAUCCGAUGGACGUUUAGUAUGCAGAAGCAGCAGAAACAGCGAUGAUGGAAGAAAAAAACGACCGUGAUGGUUGGUCUGGGGGUUGACUUACUUUGCUAGAGGGGAUUGUGACUUAUUCUUUGAACGUUGAUUGCAUUUGAAGAAAUUUCUUAGAAUAAGUCACAGCCUUUAAAAGGACAAGAACUAGUUGUAAACUAUAGACCGAGAAAAAAAUCUGGAAAACAAGUAAAAGUAAUAACAAAUAUACGUACUAGUGCUAAGAAACUAUUUUUUCUAUAGAACUUAAACAUGAUUUGUAAUCAUAUUUGUCGAUUAUACAUUUAGAAGAAGAAGAAAGAGAUGAAAUGCGAUAAUUGUGACAAGUUCGAAUAUCACCAACUCAAACUCCUCGGUUUGAAUCGAACGUAACGGCUGCUCGACUCGAGUCGAUCGAGUCCAGUGCGACAGAGCAAAUCAUGCAACAAAAAACUGUGUUAGGUAAAGAUUAGUUAUAUUUAAAAUGGUCGUACUCAUUAACUAUAGCGUUUCGUUUUUGGUAAGGUUUUAAAAUCUCUACGGUCAAAGCGUGUGUGCGGAAACCAGAAACCGCACACAGCAGUACCGUGUCAAAAUACGUAAUUACAAUUAUUGAAUAUAACCAAGGUUAAAACUGAAACUAAACAAAACAAACAGAAAUAAUCGCAAAUCUGUCCAGUGGUUAGAGUUAGUUAUUUUAGAAAUAGCGAAAAAUUAUAAAUUCAGAAAGCUGAAUUGCAGAACUGUGUCUAAGCCGGCCAUCUGUGCCCGGUGGAACUCCCUGAUCCCAGAAAGAGUUUUAGUUUCUUUUGUUGACUUUCACUUGUGUAAAUUUGUUACUAUUUUGUAUUAACAAGACUUAGACCGUAGAUUUAGUUAGAAAGAUGAUACAUAUUGAAUAAAUUUCUAAUUUGUAAUACAAAUCUUUUGUUUUUCAUUGAUUCAUUGGUUGCUAAUUAGUAGUGAUCUGAGGAGCUGGCCCGGAAUAUGAUCUUUUGUCUUCCAGUCGAUGGUAUGUUCCGUUCGAUUUAUCUUCAUUUAGUGGAGCCAAUAACCGCGCCUCAGUCGGCAACCUUCGUACUAUACGAACCACUUUAUUUCACAUAUCAAUUGACCUAUUUUACGUUCGCCCUUGUUGUGUUGUUUCGCGAUCAAGUUCCUCAGAUCAAAUCCGUUCAUAUUUAUGCUCUUUUAACUUUUUUUUUAUGUUAAUAUACUUCCCACUGUUUCGAUGAGAAACACUGAGUUCGAAGAAUUACAAGCUAUACCAUUACCUCCAAGCAGCAGCGAAGCACAAGCGAAACGGUUUUCUGUACAACUAAAAGCAAAACUCAGUUUCACCAAACAGUUUUCCCAAGGAAUCCAUGUAAAUAUCGCUUUAAAUCCCACAUUGUCACUGAUCAAAAGGAAGAAAAUGAAAUACGUAAUCAUAGUCAGGGUAGAAUAGAGAACAACCAGAACAAGCUAUUUAUAUGAAACAAAAAAGAAGAGUUCAUUCCAUCGUCUAAUCAAUGUUUGUUUGACGCUACUCACAAAUAACACAGUAAAAGUCUUGCCAUAGAAAUCAAGCAAAUUCAAUGUUUUGAUCUCAACUCGACGCAAACAAAACAGAACAAACACUUUUCCUUGAUAAACUCGUCGAAGAAAGUCUCGAUAAACGUAAAACUCAUCACUUAAAUACGUAAACAUUGGUGAAUAUAAAAAUGCAUUUUAAAUACUGCUAGUAAUUGAUACAGAAAUUGUAAAUUAUAACAUUUAAUACUGAUAUUAAUAUAAUACAAAACUAAAAAAAAAAAACUAGUGAUUAUGCCGUACAUGUUAAUGUGAAUAUUGAAGAAAUUCAGAGAGCUAAGUCCGCCACUGGGAAGCUUUGGAGGAUCGGCCAUAGUGAAAACGAAUUGAGCAAUUAAUCUCUCUAAUUCUUUGGAAAACUGCUCCACUGAUAUCGAUGACCCGGAAACGGAAUGACCUUUAUUUUUGUCCAUAUAGAGCGAAACUAAUAGACACCUACUCGUGAAGAGGAAGCGAAGCAGGAAAAUUGAGACAAACGAGAAAACCAAAAUCAAAGGCAAUACAAUUUCAAUAUUCAAAACGUAAGUUUUUGGCUAGCAGCCGAAUUGAGUUUGAUCUGAGAUAGAUGGAGCUACGCGAGAGAUCCUUUAAAAUAGCUCGAUGUUUAUUUAUUACAUCUAUUAAACUGCAAAAAACAAAACCAAACUAGAUGGUCACAAGAAAACCGAAAUACGUACACAUCGUACUGUGGCAGCAAAUUGUCCGUGUAAUGAAGAAGAGAAGUGAGCAGAAUGACAUAUUGAUAUGAAUUAUGGAAAUAAAACAAGUGAAUGAAACCUAA
Molecule: RNA transcript, 5491 nt
Organism: Aedes aegypti (yellow fever mosquito)
Lineage: Eukaryota; Metazoa; Arthropoda; Insecta; Diptera; Culicidae
Gene: abd-A
Gene name: homeobox protein abdominal-A homolog
Exons: 9
Source: RefSeq, marked validated